RNAcentral lists this transfer RNA (72 nucleotides) under Gonatozygon brebissonii. Its description in RNAcentral is "tRNA-Gln". It matches the Rfam family "tRNA". From Rfam's summary of the family: Transfer RNA (tRNA) molecules are approximately 80 nucleotides in length. Their secondary structure includes four short double-helical elements and three loops (D, anti-codon, and T loops). Further hydrogen bonds mediate the characteristic L-shaped molecular structure. tRNAs have two regions of fundamental functional importance: the anti-codon, which is responsible for specific mRNA codon recognition, and the 3' end, to which the tRNAs corresponding amino acid is attached (by aminoacyl-tRNA synthetases). tRNAs cope with the degeneracy of the genetic code in two manners: having more than one tRNA (with a specific anti-codon) for a particular amino acid; and 'wobble' base-pairing, i.e. permitting non-standard base-pairing at the 3rd anti-codon position. The record is from RNAcentral. Lineage: Eukaryota; Viridiplantae; Streptophyta; Zygnematophyceae; Desmidiales; Gonatozygaceae.
UGGAGUAUAGCCAAGUGGUAAGGCACCGGUUUUUGAUAUCGGCAUUCAAAGGUUCGAAUCCUUUUACUUCAG